RNAcentral lists this non-coding RNA (28 nucleotides) under Homo sapiens (human). The record is from RNAcentral. Lineage: Eukaryota; Metazoa; Chordata; Mammalia; Primates; Hominidae.
UGCCUAUGAUUGGGUUGGGAGACCUAUU